Molecule: long non-coding RNA, 452 nt
Filed under: Homo sapiens (human)
Lineage: Eukaryota; Metazoa; Chordata; Mammalia; Primates; Hominidae
Description: long intergenic non-protein coding RNA 2405
Source: RNAcentral
AGAGAAGCGGAAGGGAGAGAAUGGAAAUGGCCGCAUGCAGCUCCUCUCCCUCAGACAGCUCGGGGCUCAGCGGAAUGAGCACAGUCUGCAGGACAAGUGCGGAGGACUUCAGUCCCCUCUACUGUAUAUUGGCUUUAGGACUCAAGUUGUCCCUGAAAUAGAGGAAGGUGUUUUCUAGGGUAGUGGUAAUUAUCACAGUCAAAAAAGUAGGCGAGAGCACUUAGGAAAACUGUGCGGAGAUCGGCUGCUGAUGUGUAAAUACUGCUGAAGCUGCUUAUUCAAGGUAAUCUGAAUUUCCUUUUUUAAAAGUGGACUGAAACUCUGCUUUCUCAUCAGAAGACUUUUUUUUUUUUUUUUUUUUAAGAUUCUAACUCCUUUUGUCUGCUCUGUCACUUUUCUGAACUUUAAAAUCUGUCAACUUUUAGGGAGGAAACAAAACCCGAAACAUGAAA